RNAcentral lists this ribosomal RNA (419 nucleotides) under uncultured bacterium. RNAcentral's name for it is "bacterial SSU rRNA". It matches the Rfam family "Bacterial small subunit ribosomal RNA", at positions 355 to 776 of the family's 1533-position model. The record is from RNAcentral.
UCGAGAAUAUUCCACAAUGGGCGAAAGCCUGAUGGAGCGACGCCGCGUGCAGGAUGAAGGUUUUCGGAUCGUAAACUGCUUUUCUACAGGAGGAAAAUGGGUUUAUCCCAUCUGACGUUACUGUAGGAAUAAGAGGUUGCUAACUCUGUGCCAGCAGCAGCGGUAAUACAGAGACCUCGAGCGUUAUCCGGAUUUAUUGGGCGUAAAGGGCGCGUAGGAAUCUUGUCGCAUCUUUGGUUAAACCCCGGGGCCUAACCCCGGAACUGCCAAAGAGAUGGACUUGAUAGAGGAUGUCAGAGGUAAGCGGAACGCACGGUGUAAGGGUGAAAUCUGUUGAUAUCGUGCGGAACACCAGAGGCGAAGGCGGCUUACUGGGGCAUUCCUGACUCUGAGGCGCGAAAGCGUGGGGAGCAAAAAGG